GUGACGACUACUCUGCUUACUGCGCUGAAGCUGCUGUCUCAGUUUGGCAAUCUGCUGGAAAGAAGUUCAGUUUACAACAGAAUACAUGUUACCGAAGAGCAUUUCAACUACUACUGUGUCAACGCUUACCCUACUGUUUCAUCUGUGAAACCGACAACCUCACCCUUAAGCCUGACCAAAAUUUCUAAACAAGAAUAUGGCAGCACAGA
Molecule: non-coding RNA, 209 nt
Organism: Coturnix japonica (Japanese quail)
Lineage: Eukaryota; Metazoa; Chordata; Aves; Galliformes; Phasianidae
Source: RefSeq, a predicted model, not a curated record